This 384-nucleotide ribosomal RNA is filed under the name uncultured bacterium. RNAcentral's name for it is "bacterial SSU rRNA". It matches the Rfam family "Bacterial small subunit ribosomal RNA", at positions 29 to 394 of the family's 1533-position model. The record is from RNAcentral.
AAUCAACGCUGGCGGCGUGCCCCAGACAUGCAAGUCGAACGCGAAAGGACCCCUUCGGGGCCGAGUAGAGUGGCGUCCGGGUGAGUAACACGUGGGUAAUCUACCUUCGGGUGGGGAAUAACGACCGGAAACGGUCGCUAAUACCGCAUAAUGCAGCGGCACCUAAUGGUGACAGUUGUUAAAGCGGGGGAUCNCAAGACCUCGCGCCUGAAGAGGAGCCCCGCGGCGGAUUAGCUAGUUGGCAGGGAACGGCCUACCAAGGCGACGAUCCGUAGCCGGCCUGAGAGGGCGGUCGGCCACACUGGCACUGACACACGGGCCAGACUCCUACGGGAGGGCAGCAGUCGGGAAUUUUGGGCAAUGGGCGAAAGCCUGACCCAGCAA